Molecule: unclassified non-coding RNA, 331 nt
Filed under: soil metagenome
Description: partial contains 5.8S ribosomal RNA, internal transcribed spacer 2, and large subunit ribosomal RNA
Rfam family: 5.8S ribosomal RNA (bases 1-120)
Source: RNAcentral
GAUGAAGAACGCAGCGAAAUGCGAUAAGUAAUGUGAAUUGCAGAAUUCAGUGAAUCAUCGAAUCUUUGAACGCACAUUGCGCCCUCUGGUAUUCCGGGGGGCAUGCCUGUUCGAGCGUCAUUAUAACCACUCAAGCUUUGCUUGGUGUUGGGCGUCUUGUCGUAUUACGACUCGCCUUAAAUACAUUGGCAGCCGGCACUUUGGCCUAGGAGCGCAGCACAUUUUGCGAUCGUAGCCCGUUGUACUGGCGUCCAUCAAGAACAUUUACCACGUUUGACCUCGGAUCAGGUAGGGAUACCCGCUGAACUUAAGCAUAUCAAUAAGCGGAGGA